This 512-nucleotide ribosomal RNA is filed under the name uncultured bacterium. RNAcentral describes it as "bacterial SSU rRNA". It matches the Rfam family "Bacterial small subunit ribosomal RNA", at positions 15 to 518 of the family's 1533-position model. The record is from RNAcentral.
GAUCAUGGCUCAGAACGAACGCUGGCGGCGCGUUUAAGCAUGCAAGUCGAGCGGCAAGGGCCUUCGGGCCCCUAGAGCGGCGGACGGGUGAGUAACACGUGGACAAUCUGCCCCCCGGCCCGGGAUAGCCCAGGGAAACCUGGAUUAAUACCGGAUGAGACGGGACCCGCGAUGGCGGGAUCCGGGAAAGGCGCUGCGGCGCCGCCGGGGGAUGAGUCUGCGUCCCAUUAGCUAGACGGCGGGGUAACGGCCCACCGUGGCGACGAUGGGUAGCCGGCCUGAGAGGGUGGACGGCCACAUUGGAACUGAGACACGGUCCAGACUCCUACGGGAGGCAGCAGCUAAGAAUCUUCCGCAAUGGGCGAAAGCCUGACGGAGCGACGCCGCGUGAACGAAGAAGGCCGUGAGGUUGUAAAGUUCUUUUCGGGAGGGGGAACAACCGUGGCAGGGAAUGGCCGCGGGAUGACGUGAAUCCCGGAAUAAGCCCCGGCUAACUACGUGCCAGCAGCAGC